RNAcentral lists this ribosomal RNA (628 nucleotides) under Streptomyces sp. ANA102. RNAcentral describes it as "bacterial SSU rRNA". It matches the Rfam family "Bacterial small subunit ribosomal RNA", at positions 56 to 701 of the family's 1533-position model. RNAcentral also lists the same sequence under 2 other names. The record is from RNAcentral. Lineage: Bacteria; Bacillati; Actinomycetota; Actinomycetes; Kitasatosporales; Streptomycetaceae.
UGCAGUCGAACGAUGAACCACUUCGGUGGGGAUUAGUGGCGAACGGGUGAGUAACACGUGGGCAAUCUGCCCUGCACUCUGGGACAAGCCCUGGAAACGGGGUCUAAUACCGGAUACUGAUUGUCUUGGGCAUCCUUGAUGAUCGAAAGCUCCGGCGGUGCAGGAUGAGCCCGCGGCCUAUCAGCUUGUUGGUGAGGUAACGGCUCACCAAGGCGACGACGGGUAGCCGGCCUGAGAGGGCGACCGGCCACACUGGGACUGAGACACGGCCCAGACUCCUACGGGAGGCAGCAGUGGGGAAUAUUGCACAAUGGGCGCAAGCCUGAUGCAGCGACGCCGCGUGAGGGAUGACGGCCUUCGGGUUGUAAACCUCUUUCAGCAGGGAAGAAGCGAAAGUGACGGUACCUGCAGAAGAAGCGCCGGCUAACUACGUGCCAGCAGCCGCGGUAAUACGUAGGGCGCAAGCGUUGUCCGGAAUUAUUGGGCGUAAAGAGCUCGUAGGCGGCUUGUCGCGUCGGUUGUGAAAGCCCGGGGCUUAACCCCGGGUCUGCAGUCGAUACGGGCAGGCUAGAGUUCGGUAGGGGAGAUCGGAAUUCCUGGUGUAGCGGUGAAAUGCGCAGAUAUCAGG